GAAAUGCGAUAAGUAGUGUGAAUUGCAGAAUUCAGUGAAUCAUCGAAUCUUUGAACGCACAUUGCGCCUUCUAGUAUUCUGGGAGGCAUGCCUGUUUGAGCGUCAUUAAAACCUACUCAAGUAGUUUACUUGGAAGUGAAGGAAGAAUACUUUUUAAAUAAAGAGUUCUCCUUUGAAAUUGAUUAGCAGAUGGUAUAAAAUCCUGACGUUGCAAGAUUUUUUAUCUUUCGAAGGUGAUUUUAUUAUCUUGCUUCAAAUCCAUUUAUUGGCAUAUAUAUUAUAGUUAUGUUUGUUUUCAAAUAUACUAAAUAUUGUUGACAGUAAAUAAUUUAUUUAUAAGUUGACCUCAAAUCAGGUAGGGAUACCCGCUGAACUUAA
RNAcentral lists this unclassified non-coding RNA (378 nucleotides) under uncultured Trichophaea. RNAcentral describes it as "sequence contains ITS1". The stretch from base 1 to 105 matches the Rfam family "5.8S ribosomal RNA", at positions 50 to 154 of the family's 154-position model. Lineage: Eukaryota; Fungi; Ascomycota; Pezizomycetes; Pezizales; Pyronemataceae. The record is from RNAcentral.